RNAcentral lists this ribosomal RNA (252 nucleotides) under uncultured bacterium. Its description in RNAcentral is "partial 16S ribosomal RNA". It matches the Rfam family "Bacterial small subunit ribosomal RNA", at positions 524 to 776 of the family's 1533-position model. The record is from RNAcentral.
UACGUAGGUGGCAAGCGUUUUCCGGAAUUAUUGGGCGUAAAGCGCGCGCAGGCGGUUAUGUAAGUCUGAUGUUAAAGCCCGGGGCUCAACCUCGGUUCGCAUUGGAAACUGCGUAGCUUGAGUGCAGAAGAGGAAAGUGGUAUUCCACGUGUAGCGGUGAAAUGCGUAGAUAUGUGGAGGAACACCAGUGGCGAAGGCGACUUUCUGGUCUGUAACUGACGCUGAGGCGCGAAAGCGUGGGGAGCAAACAGG